This 433-nucleotide ribosomal RNA is filed under the name uncultured bacterium. RNAcentral describes it as "partial 16S ribosomal RNA". It matches the Rfam family "Bacterial small subunit ribosomal RNA", at positions 29 to 507 of the family's 1533-position model. The record is from RNAcentral.
AGCGAACGCUGGCGGCAGGCCUAACACAUGCAAGUCGAACGAACUCAUCGGAGUUAGUGGCGGCUGGGUGAGUAACACGUGGGAAGGUGCCUUUUGGGUCGGACUAACUCAGGGACACUUGUGCUAAUACGGAAUGUGCGCUUCGGGGGAAUGACUUAUCGCCAUUAGUGCGGCCCGCGUCUGAUUAGCUCGUUGGGGAGGUAACGGCUCACUACGGCGCCGAUCAGUAGCUUGUUUGUGAGGCUGACCAGCCACACCGAGACUAGGACACGGCCCAGACUCCUACGGAAUGCAGCAGUGGCGGAUCUUGCGAAAUGGGCGGAAGCCUGACGCAGCCAUGCCGCGUGAAUGAUGAAAGUCUUAGGAUAGUAAAAUGCUUUCACCGAGGACGAUAAUGACGGUACCCAGAGAAAAAGCCCCGGCUAACUUCGUG